Molecule: ribosomal RNA, 350 nt
Filed under: uncultured bacterium
Lineage: Bacteria
Description: bacterial SSU rRNA
Rfam family: Bacterial small subunit ribosomal RNA
Source: RNAcentral
UGGGGAAUAUUGCACAAUGGGCGGAAGCCUGAUGCAGCAACGCCGCGUGAGGGAUGACGGCCUUCGGGUUGUAAACCGCUUUCGCCUGUGACGAAGCGUGAGUGACGGUAAUGGGUAAAGAAGCACCGGCUAACUACGUGCCAGCAGCCGCGGUAAUACGUAGGGUGCGAGCGUUGUCCGGAUUUAUUGGGCGUAAAGGGCUCGUAGGUGGUUGAUCGCGUCGGAAGUGUAAUCUUGGGGCUUAACCCUGAGCGUGCUUUCGAUACGGGUUGACUUGAGGAAGGUAGGGGAGAAUGGAAUUCCUGGUGGAGCGGUGGAAUGCGCAGAUAUCAGGAGGAACACCAGUGGCG